GACGAACGCUGGCGGCGUGCUUAACACAUGCAAGUCGAACGGAAAGGCCCUGCUUUUGUGGGGUGCUCGAGUGGCGAACGGGUGAGUAACACGUGAGUAACCUGCCCUUGACUUUGGGAUAACUUCAGGAAACUGGGGCUAAUACCGGAUAGGGGCUCCUGCUGCAUGGUGGGGGUUGGAAAGUUUCGGCGGUUGGGGAUGGACUCGCGGCUUAUCAGCUUGUUGGUGGGGUAGUGGCUUACCAAGGCUUUGACGGGUAGCCGGCCUGAGAGGGUGACCGGCCACAUUGGGACUGAGAUACGGCCCAGACUCCUACGGGAGGCAGCAGUGGGGAAUAUUGCACAAUGGGCGGAAGCCUGAUGCAGCAACGCCGCGUGCGGGAUGACGGCCUUCGGGUUGUAAACCGCUUUCGCCUGUGACGAAGCGUGAGUGACGGGAAUGGGGAAAGAAGCACCGGCUAACUACGU
This 467-nucleotide ribosomal RNA is filed under the name uncultured bacterium. Its description in RNAcentral is "partial 16S ribosomal RNA". It matches the Rfam family "Bacterial small subunit ribosomal RNA", at positions 28 to 506 of the family's 1533-position model. The record is from RNAcentral.